GCCUCACCUGGGGCUCACCACACCCCCGGGGCAGGUUAUUUAAGGUUGGCCAAGGGCUAUGGGUGCUCCCUGAGUGCUGCUGUGGCUGUGCCCUGGUGGAUCUCGGUGCUCCAGGGGAAGGGUCAGGCCCUCCUGCCAAGCGGAGGAGAAGCCGGCUGCCUGGCCAGAUCUGCAUGGGCUGCCCCGAGCCCCAGCACAUCCCACCGGGAGCACCGCCUGCGCCUCUCCCCCAGCCCUCUGCCUCCGCCAGGAGGCUUCACAAGCGAGCGCUUUGCUGUGAAGUGCGACAUAACACGGCUAAAAAUAUUCCUGAAGAGUUUUAUUAGUAAAUGCCACAGUGGUUUUUUUUUUUUUUCUUUUCCUCCCCCUUCUGCUGCAAAGCGCUCCAGCUCGAGGAACGGCACUUGGCUAAAUUGCCUCUAAAUCACAAACCCCUCGCGAGGCCGGGCUCUGCAGUGCAAACCUUAGCCAAAAAGCCUCCUUAGGAGGAUGCUGUAAAUGCGCCUGCCUCCUUACCUUGUGGUUGGAAUAAAGGGCUGGUCCUGCUGCUUUGAAACAAGCAGGCUCCAUGUUUUUACCUAAA
Anas platyrhynchos (mallard) is the source of this 583-nucleotide long non-coding RNA. RefSeq lists it as uncharacterized. The record is from RefSeq and is a predicted model, not a curated record. Lineage: Eukaryota; Metazoa; Chordata; Aves; Anseriformes; Anatidae.